This 108-nucleotide small nucleolar RNA is filed under the name Rosa chinensis. RNAcentral describes it as "sRNA RchiOBHm_Chr5g0056211". It matches the Rfam family "Plant small nucleolar RNA R71". From Rfam's summary of the family: R71 is a member of the C/D box family of snoRNAs containing the C (UGAUGA) and D (CUGA) box motifs. Multiple nearly identical copies of this snoRNA have been identified in Arabidopsis, and it is thought to function as a 2'-O-ribose methylation guide for 18S ribosomal RNA. The record is from Rfam by way of RNAcentral. Lineage: Eukaryota; Viridiplantae; Streptophyta; Magnoliopsida; Rosales; Rosaceae.
AAGAUGUGAUGGGGACACUUCCUCUGAAACUCCUGAAAUUCCUCCCAUGCCUCAUAUAGUGUAUCUCCAUUCUUUUGAGUGAAGUUUUGAAUCUCCCUCCUUAGUCGU